UUGUUCUUUUUUUUUUCUUUUUUUUUGUCAAACCGUGGCAGUUGUUCUUGCUAUGGGUAAAACACCGUCCAAUCUCUAAUAAUAGCUUCUUGAGCAUAUAGCCAUCACUCAAGUUCUGGAAACGAAUACAAGGAAUAAAAAUCAAAAUAAAUUUUUUUUGAAAUGUUGUUGAACCUUCGAAAACAAUUUUUUAUCUAAAGGUACGUUGUGUUUUCUUAUCUAAACCAGUCUUCGAGCUUUUAUUUAUACUAUUAGGUUAUAUAGUCGGUGAUUAACCAAAUGAUUUUCACGAAAAAAAAGAUAUUGAACACUAUAGCUAUAAACUGGUAAUGUAUUGGUUACUGUCGUUUUUUUUUCGUUAGACGAAGUCAUGGUAGAUGAAGUAGACCAUAGUUUUAAUUUGUCUCGGUAAGAUAUAUAGAUAAUUACAGCACACUAUAGUACUAUAUUUAACCGGCAUGUUUAUAGAUUCCUUUUGAGAAUUUGGACUUUGAUCUCAAAACCAAGACACGACAAGUGUACGGAUGUGUGAUAGUGUGUGUCGUAAGGGUUGACUUAGAUGAAAUGAAU
Molecule: long non-coding RNA, 570 nt
Filed under: Brassica rapa (field mustard)
Lineage: Eukaryota; Viridiplantae; Streptophyta; Magnoliopsida; Brassicales; Brassicaceae
Description: long non-coding RNA (BRAP_LNC001079)
Source: RNAcentral